GCUGGGCAGCACAGUUGGGAGAGUUAUACUGAAGCUCUUAAGGUCCCUGGUUCGAUCCUGGGUUUCAGCA
Molecule: non-coding RNA, 70 nt
Organism: Albula goreensis
Lineage: Eukaryota; Metazoa; Chordata; Actinopteri; Albuliformes; Albulidae
Source: the annotation of a GenBank genome assembly